RNAcentral lists this ribosomal RNA (388 nucleotides) under uncultured bacterium. Its description in RNAcentral is "bacterial SSU rRNA". It matches the Rfam family "Bacterial small subunit ribosomal RNA", at positions 28 to 417 of the family's 1533-position model. The record is from RNAcentral.
GACGAACGCUGGCGGCGUGCUUAACACAUGCAAGUCGAGCGGUAAGGCCCUUUCGGGGGUACACGAGCGGCGAACGGGUGAGUAACACGUGGGUGACCUGCCCUCAGCUCUGGGAUAGGCCUGGGAAACUGGGUCUAAUACUGGAUAUGACUCCACGGUGCAUGUCGUGGGGUGGAAAGCCUUGUGCGGCUGAGGAUGGGCCCGCGGCCUAUCAGCUUGUUGGUGGGGUGAUGGCCUACCAAGGCGACGACGGGUAGCCGGCCUGAGAGGGCGACCGGCCACACUGGGACUGAGACACGGCCCAGACUCCUACGGGAGGCAGCAGUGGGGAAUCUUGCGCAAUGGGCGAAAGCCUGACGCAGCGACGCCGCGUGAGGGAUGACGGCCU